Long non-coding RNA from Callithrix jacchus (white-tufted-ear marmoset), 3840 nucleotides. The record is from Ensembl. NCBI's taxonomy places the organism in Eukaryota, Metazoa, Chordata, Mammalia, Primates, Cebidae.
AUGAGAGGUUCUAGGAGAGGUGUUCAGAAUAAAAAUGCAGGUUCACAGCUCAGCAGAGGCCUGACCAGUAAGGUAGAGAGCGGAGAAGAGAGCCGUGGGGGCCCAGGGCAGUCACACAGCAGAGGCAGCUGGAAAAUCACCUGCCCAGCAUCACCCUCCUCCCUCAUCCUCUGUGAGUGUCUCCAGAGCUCCUGCCACCACACUGCUAGGAGGAUGUGCAAGAGGAGAUGUUAUAUGCACUUUUGUUGCCAACCAACACCACAGCUGCAAAACCAUCCAAGUCUUUGAAUGAUUGCAUGUCGGGAAAACUGAACUGGUCAAUUUGGGUAGGUGUACUCAUGGAUGGAGCGGCAGCCAUGACUGGACGGCUUUCUGGUUUCACUACUUGGGUCAAAGAGGUUGCUUCAGAAUGUGAGUCUAUGCACUAUUGUCAUCCCUAGAGCUGGCUAGCCAAAAAAUAUGACCUGAACUUAACAGUGUUUUGAAGGGUGUGAUAUAAAUUAUCAACCAUAAUAAUGUACAUGCCCUUAACUCAUGUCUGUUCACUCAGCUCUGUGAGGAGAUGGACACAGAGCACACACAUCUUCUCUUAUACACAGAAGUGAGAUGGCUUUCUAAAAGUAGAUCACUGGCCAGAGUUUUUAAGUUAUGAGAGCCACUCCAGAUAUUUCUUUUAGAAAAACAGUCACCACUGACAACACAUUUCAGUGACAUAGAAUGGGUCACAAAACUUGCUUACUUAUUGGAUAUAAACAACCUGCUCAAUAAAAUCAAUAUGUCACUUCAGGGGAGAAUGGCAACUAUAUUCAAGCUGUCAGACAAAGUGGCUUCAUUCAAAGCCAAAAUGGAAUUAUAGGAGCAAUGAGUAAACAUUGGGAACUGGAAUUUCUGACAUGUUUCAAACAUUAGCAGAGAUUUUGAAAGAGACUGAUACAGGGCCUUCUUUUCCCAGCUGGUGCAUGAUCACCUAUCUCUGCUUUCAAAAGAGUUUGAGGAUUACUUCCAAACCACAAAAGACUCCCAAACUGGGAAGGAAUGGAUCUGUGACCAGACUUGUCCAUGCUAGAAGAGGAUCAACUGCUUGAGACUGCAAAUGAUGGUGGCCUUAAAAGUAUGUCUGAGACAACUUCAAAUCUCCAUAGUUCUGGAUUAAAGUCAAGGUAAAAUAUUCUGUGAUUGCCACAAAACCACUGAAAAGCCUGCUUCCAUUUCCAGCAUCCUAUCUUAGUGAAGCAGAAUUUCCUCUAGUGACAGCAACCAAAAUGAGCUUAUGGAGUAGACUGGACACAAGCAACACACUUCGGUGUCCCUCUCUUCCAUCACCCCCAGAUGGGACCACCCAGUUGCAGGAAAACAAGCUCAGAGCUCCUACUGAUUCUACAUUAUGAUAAGUUUCAUAAUUAUUUCAUUAUAUGUUACAAUAAACACAAAGUGUACAAUAAAUGUAAUGCAGUUGAAUUAUCUCAAAAUCAUCCUCCCUACUCCACCUCAGUCUGGAAAAAUUGUCUUCUGUGAAACCAGCCUCUGGUGACAAAAAGGUUGGGGACCACUGACUGACAGAGAUUUUAGUUGAGUUAACAGUUUUGCUCAAAUAAACAGUCUCUGAGUUUCUUUCAGCUUUCAUAAUUGACGUUUCCUUACUGUGUAGGCCAACUGAGCCUGAAGUCCACUUGUGAUUUCAGCACCCUCUUUUUCAUAGUAUGAUCAGGAUUUUCCCAGUUUAUGCUGUAAUUCCUAUGCUCUGGAACUGAGUCCCAGACAAACAAGUGAUCACCCUACUUCUUAUCACCAUGCUGUGUCUCCUUGACCUUUGUCCAAAACAGCCCAGUGCUCUUAACUGCACCUUCCCACCCAUGGAAAAGCCUGAGCGCACACUACAAAAAGUCUUUGUCACCUACACUCUGGAUCUUGUGCAAACCCAAAGAAGGCUUUGCCUUCUACUUUCAUUCCCACCUGCACACUUGGGUAUCUUGGCAAGUACCUAGGUUUGUUUCUUGGUUAGCCCCUUGGAGCAAUGCUUCAGGCGAACCACGUGCUUGGUUUCACCAGCAAACAUGAGCUUCACACCUCCCAGCCCAACAUUUCUGUUGCCAGGCCAAUUAAUCAAUUUUUAAUACACAGCCCAAAACCAUGUGCCCAAAAUACCUAAAUUAGGGAUAUUCCUAAAACAGCCCUUAAUGUGCUUAGUUUUCCUAAUUAACUUCUAUUUUUCCAUAUACGAAAAGGAUAGGAAAGUCUCCCAGAAAAACAGACAAUGUCCUUGGGUUACUUUGUACCAUCUAACACUGCUAAACUGGUAGAGAGAAGUGAAGAGGUAGAAAAGAAGACUUUAAGAUGUCCCACCUAACCAACUGUUAAAAAAUGCUGUGAGUCUGAUCCCUUCAUUCAUCCACCUGACAGAAGCAUUAGAACAAACUUCCGCCUGUCACAGAAACUUCUGUUUGUCUACCCAGUAUUUAUUUAUUGUUCGUUACUUUCCUUUUUUCCUUACUAAGAGAAUGUCAAUUUUCUUCUAGAUAUUUAUUUAUUCUCCCUUGCAGCUAAGAGUAACCAAUGAGGUAUAAGUAGAAAUGUAUAAAAGGGACUUACUCAGCCAGGAGGGACAAUCCUGGGACAUUCUGUCCUCCUUCCUUCCUCCUUCUUUCUGCCUAGAAUAUGUCAGGUUGUUACAUUUUAAAAAUAAAAACACAAGGUGCCUACUUAAAUUUAAAUUUCAAAUAAAUAACAAAUAUUUAGUUUUAGUGUAAGUGUGUUCUAUGCAGUUUGGAACAUACUAACACUAAAAUGUCAUUUGUUGUUUACCUAAAAUUCAAGUCUAACUGGGUAUCCUGUAUUUUAUCAUGUCCCCAAGAAUGUGGGCAUGGAGACUGAAGCUCCAGCAGCCACCAUGGGACAUAAAGAGAACUUACAGUCAAAGCCACACAAUAAGGAUGACAAAAAGAAAACAUGGGCAUCCAGUCAUAGAAGACCAGAGAGUGACAUGUUAACCCAGGCCACAUUCCUUGGAACUUUUUCUACAUGUGAUAAAUAAAGCUUUACCCUGUUUGAGGCAUGGUUAUUUGGGAUUUGUUACAUGUAAACUCAGUCCUAAGUGGUAAAGUAUCAUUUCCACAUUGCUCUUCCUCUCCACUCACAUCUGCGCUUCUUUUUCUCUCCCCAGUACCCCAUGGUGAGCAUUUUAGGUGAUUUUAUUCAUUUACAAGAAUGAAUGGAAAGAGUAAAUUCCACACAAUAAUUUGUCUUCUUCCUAAAUCCUUAGACACAUCUUAAAAUGAAGGGGAAAAUAUAACAAUAUAUAUUUCUGAAGUUCUCUAGAAAAAAAGUGCCUAGAAGUCUCCCAAAAGACUAGAAAGCAAUGAAGAGAUUUCCUUCAAGGGGCUGCCAUAACCAUAUCAUAAUUGGGGAGGCUUGUUUUUGGAAAGGUAUAAAAUCAGGCAAAGAGAAGCUUAAAUGAAAUUCUAAAGAGAAGGGAAUGUGAUAGAAAACAUGCAAUUCUCGGGCGCGGUGGCUCACGCCUGUAAUCCCAGCACUUUGGGAGGCCGAGGAGGGUGGAUCACGAGGUCAAGAGAUCGAGACCAUCCUGGUCAACAUGGUGAAACCCCGUCUCUACUAAAAAUACAAAAAUUAGCUGGGCAUGGUGGCACGUGCUUGUAAUCCCAGCUACUCGGGAGGCUGAGGCAGGAGAAUUGCCUGAACCCAGGAGGCGGAGGUUGCGGUGAGCCGAGAUCGCGCCAUUGCACUCCAGCCUGGGUAACAAGAGAGAAACUCCAUCUCAAAAAAAAAAAAAGAAAGAAAACAUGCAAUUCUAUUUUAUCACUGAUUCAAUGGCACUGUGUAUUA